UGGGGAAUAUUGGACAAUGGGGGGAACCCUGAUCCAGCCAUGCCGCGUGUGUGAAGAAGGCCUUAUGGUUGUAAAGCACUUUAAGCGAGGAGGAGGGUACUGGUAUUAAUACUACCAGGUACUGGACGUUACUCGCAGAAUAAGCACCGGCUAACUCUGUGCCAGCAGCCGCGGUAAUACAGAGGGUGCGAGCGUUAAUCGGAUUUACUGGGCGUAAAGCGUGCGUAGGUGGUUCGUUAAGUUGAAUGUGAAAGCCCCGGGCUCAACCUGGGAACUGCAUCCAAAACUGGCGAGCUAGAGUAGGGCAGAGGGUGGUGGAAUUUCCUGUGUAGCGGUGAAAUGCGUAGAUAUAGGAAGGAACACCAGUGGCGAAGGCGACCACCUGGGCUCAUACUGACACUGAGGUGCGAAAGCGGGGGGAGCAAACAGG
RNAcentral lists this ribosomal RNA (430 nucleotides) under Pseudomonadota bacterium. RNAcentral's name for it is "Proteobacteria bacterium partial 16S ribosomal RNA". It matches the Rfam family "Bacterial small subunit ribosomal RNA", at positions 355 to 776 of the family's 1533-position model. Lineage: Bacteria; Pseudomonadati; Pseudomonadota. The record is from RNAcentral.